CAGAGGGUGCGAGCGUUGUUCGGAAUUACUGGGCGUAAAGCGCGCGCAGGCGGCUCUUUAAGUCUAUGGGUGAAAGACCGGGGCUCAACCCCGUGUCAGCCCGGGAUACUGGGGGAGCUAGGGACAUGUAGGGGCGAGCGGAAUUCCGGGUGUAGCGGUGGAAUGCGUAGAGAUCCGGAAGAACACCGGGGGCGAAGGCGGCUCGCUGGGCAUGGUCCGACGCUGAGGCGCGAAAGCGUGGGGAGCGAACAGGAUUAGAUACCCUGGUAGUCCACGCCGUAAACGAUGGGCACUAGAGGCGGGGGGGAUCGGCCCCUUCCGUCUCGCAGCUAACGCGUUAAGUGCCCCGCCUGGGGAGUACGGCCGCAAGGCUG
Molecule: ribosomal RNA, 374 nt
Filed under: uncultured organism
Description: bacterial SSU rRNA
Rfam family: Bacterial small subunit ribosomal RNA
Source: RNAcentral